UAUUAGGUAUGGGCUAUAAAUUUAAAUAAUUUGGCGGUAAAUUAAUUUUUUAGAGGAAUUUGUCAUUUAAUAGAUAGUACCCAUUUUACCUUACCUUCAUUAAUUUAUUAGUUUGUAUGCCGCUGUUAUAAGAAUAUUCUUAUUGGAUUAAUUUUCUUUAUUUUUAAAAAAAAAUAAAUAUCAAGUCAAGGUGUAGCUUAUAUGUUGGAAUUAGAUGAAUUCCAAUUUAUAUAAUAAAUACGAAAUAUAUUUUUAAAUAAUUUUAUAAAGGUGGUUUUAAAAGUAAUUCUAUAUUAGAAAGAUUUAAGGAAUAUAACCUAAUUUAAGU
RNAcentral lists this ribosomal RNA (328 nucleotides) under Tanystylum orbiculare. Its description in RNAcentral is "partial 12S ribosomal RNA". Lineage: Eukaryota; Metazoa; Arthropoda; Pycnogonida; Pantopoda; Tanystylidae. The record is from RNAcentral.